UGGGGAAUUUUGGACAAUGGGCGCAAGCCUGAUCCAGCCAUGCCGCGUGCGGGAAGAAGGCCUUCGGGUUGUAAACCGCUUUUGUCAGGGAAGAAAUCUUCUGAGUUAAUACCUCGGGAGGAUGACGGUACCUGAAGAAUAAGCACCGGCUAACUACGUGCCAGCAGCCGCGGUAAUACGUAGGGUGCAAGCGUUAAUCGGAAUUACUGGGCGUAAAGCGUGCGCAGGCGGUUUUGUAAGACAGAGGUGAAAUCCCCGGGCUCAACCUGGGAACUGCCUUUGUGACUGCAAGGCUUGAGUGCGGCAGAGGGGGAUGGAAUUCCGCGUGUAGCAGUGAAAUGCGUAGAUAUGCGGAGGAACACCGAUGGCGAAGGCAAUCCCCUGGGCCUGCACUGACGCUCAUGCACGAAAGCGUGGGGAGCAAACAGGAUUAGAUACCCUGGUAGUCCACGCCCUAAACGAUGUCAACUGGUUGUUGGGAAGGUUCCUUCUCAGUAACGUAGCUAACGCGUGAAGUUGACCGCCUGGGGAGUACGGCCGCAAGGUUGAAACUCAAAUGAAUUGACGAGGUCAUAGCUGUUUCCU
RNAcentral lists this ribosomal RNA (585 nucleotides) under uncultured bacterium. RNAcentral's name for it is "partial 16S ribosomal RNA". It matches the Rfam family "Bacterial small subunit ribosomal RNA", at positions 355 to 1375 of the family's 1533-position model. The record is from RNAcentral.